Molecule: long non-coding RNA, 752 nt
Filed under: Phasianus colchicus (ring-necked pheasant)
Lineage: Eukaryota; Metazoa; Chordata; Aves; Galliformes; Phasianidae
Description: lncRNA (ENSPCLG00000013330.1)
Source: RNAcentral
UCCUAUGACAGGUUGAGGGAACUGGGGUUGUUCAGAUUGAAGAGAAGGCUCCAGGGAGACCUCAUUGUAGCCUUCCAGUACUUGAAGGGAGCAUAUAAACAGGAAUGGGAAUGGCUAUUUACAAGGGUGGAUAGCGAUAAGACAAGGGAGAACCAUUUUAAACUGAGACAGGGAAGGUUUAGGUUAGAUAUUAGCAGGAAGUUUUUCACUCAGAGGGUGGUGACAGAAUGGAACAGGUUGCCCAAGGAGGUUGUGGAUGCCCCAUCCCAUUCAAGGCCAGGCUGGAUGUGGUUCUGGGCAGCCUGGUCUGGUGGUUGGUGACCUUGCACAUAGCAGGGGGGUUGAAACGAGAUGAUCAUUGCAGUCAUCUAUGAUUCUAUGAUUCUAUGAUCUUUGUGAAUGAAGUCUAAGAGUUGUUUUUUUUUAAUCUUAAUAAAAUGCUAUGUUUCUUCUGUUUCUUUUUCACUAAAGGAGAACACUAAAGGAACCCAGGCAGAGAUUUUCUUCAGCUGCUUUAUGAUAGAGGUAUCAGAAUUGAACUGGGUGAAAUACUUCUUAAUAAUCAGCAAGUCAGUGAACAUGGGAGAUCUUACUGAGCCACAGACUAUAUUCUUGAAAUGUUUCUACAUAUAAGAAGGAAAGCAUUGAUGAGCAAUUAAAAAAAAAAAUUCUAUGCCCUUCAAGAGUAAGCAGUUUCAAAAAAGAUUUGUAUAUGCUUCUUGUUUUCCCUGCUUUAAAUACAUUCAGUAAAU